RNAcentral lists this long non-coding RNA (716 nucleotides) under Mustela putorius furo (domestic ferret). RNAcentral's name for it is "lncRNA (ENSMPUG00000028609.1)". Lineage: Eukaryota; Metazoa; Chordata; Mammalia; Carnivora; Mustelidae. The record is from RNAcentral.
AUCUUAAACAGUUUUUUAAUCUGUGGGAAUGACCAGAAGGUCAUUCGAAAUUAGUGCCGAUGCAUGACGAACACAGAGGAGCUGUGGGCUGGGAGACCAGGCCCAGAAUCGGGCCUGAGGGCAGGGGUCAGGCCCCAUUCACAGACAGGAAAUGAAUCCAGAGAGAAGAAGCAGUUCACCCAAGGUCACAGACAGAGAGCAUGGAGCCCAGUGACCUUGUGGUCCCCACAGAAGAUGCAUGGAUUCCGUCUCUGAUUUUCUCCUGAACCAGAAGAGGGCCACCGGGUCCCCCCAUCUAUCAUCAGAAUGUUGGGAAGCGAUGGUGGUGGGGUUAGUGUCCUGCCUGAACCCCCUUUCCUGACCUCGUGACCCAGCUGCUUUGAGUCACAGCUGAGAGGUCCACAGGUGUUCCCUCCCCAGAGGGAGAACAGCCUUAAGGCCAAAUGAGGAGGCCAUCAUCCCCACGCACGCCCCGGAGCAGCCGAUGGCCAGUGACGGAGUGACAUGGAGAUAAAAUCGCCAGCCCCCUUGCCUCAAGGUGGGACCUGCUCUGGGAUACAGUUCACGCUCCAGGACUCUCCAUGGGCCUGGGCUGACCGUGCUUGCUUAGCAUUUUGCCCCAUUCUGCGCCUCACUCCCUUCUCUUAGGAGCACCGCUUCCAUAGAUCACGUGCGUAAGGAGCUCCGUCACAGGCUCUGCUUCAAAAACGGACCUG